UACGUAGGGGGCAAGCGUUAUCCGGAUUUACUGGGUGUAAAGGGAGCGUAGACUGUAAAGCAAGUCUGAAGUGAAAUGCCAGUGCUCAACACUGGAACUGCUUUGGAAACUGUUUGGCUGGAGUGCAGGAGAGGUAAAUGGAAUUCCUAGUGUAGCGGUGAAAUGCGUAGAUAUUAGGAGGAACACCAGUGGCGAAGGCGGCUUACUGGACUGUAACUGACGUUGAGGCUCGAAAGCGUGGGGAGCAAACAGG
RNAcentral lists this ribosomal RNA (253 nucleotides) under uncultured bacterium. RNAcentral's name for it is "partial 16S ribosomal RNA". It matches the Rfam family "Bacterial small subunit ribosomal RNA", at positions 524 to 776 of the family's 1533-position model. The record is from RNAcentral.